GAGUGAACGCUGGCGGUAGGCCUAACACAUGCAAGUCGAACGGCAGCACAGUAAGAGCUUGCUCUUACGGGUGGCGAGUGGCGGACGGGUGAGGAAUACAUCGGAAUCUACUUUUUCGUGGGGGAUAACGUAGGGAAACUUACGCUAAUACCGCAUACGACCUACGGGUGAAAGUAGGGGAUCUUCGGACCUUGCGCGAUUGAAUGAGCCGAUGUCGGAUUAGCUAGUUGGCGGGGUAAAGGCCCACCAAGGCGACGAUCCGUAGCUGGUCUGAGAGGAUGAUCAGCCACACUGGAACUGAGACACGGUCCAGACUCCUACGGGAGGCAGCAGUGGGGAAUAUUGGACAAAGGGCGCAAGCCUGAUCCAGCCAUACCGCGUGGGUGAAGAAGGCCUUCGGGUUGUAAAGCCCUUUUGUUGGGAAAGAAAAGCAGCAGGUUAAUACCCCGCUGUUCUGACGGUACCCAAAGAAUAAGCACCGGCUAACUUCGUG
Molecule: ribosomal RNA, 493 nt
Filed under: uncultured bacterium
Lineage: Bacteria
Description: partial 16S ribosomal RNA
Rfam family: Bacterial small subunit ribosomal RNA
Source: RNAcentral